GUUUUUUAUUGUGUUUUAACCGUGUCUACAUAUGAGAAAUAAAUUAGGGAAGAAAGUUUUUUUCAUUGACGAUGGCAUAUAUUCUGAUAAACUGGGCAUGGUUAAUACAAUUGUAGAGCGCAUUUCUACGAGAAAUCGAGUUUUGACCAGAAUAGAUCAGAUGCAAGAAGAUAUUGAAAUGAAAUUGAUGGCUACCAGAAUUCACAGGUUAAGUAACGAUCAUUUCCUUUUACAUGUUUGUUUGAGCCAACAACUCAUGUAUUAUGUUAUCAGUCAUGAAUUACUGGUAUCAACCUUCUAAUUGUUCUUCAUCUAAUUGAGGUGAGAACAAAGAGCUGCGGGUCGGGGUAAGGAGGCUCAUGAGACCACUAAAUAACAUGUCGUCUUCGGUUAUCUCAAGCCACAGCAUGCAUCUUGUUUGCUAAAAAAGUUCUAUUUCUCAAAUUGCUAACUGCAUGAUUCUUUACUGCUAGGUCUUGAUUUGUUGGAUGAUAUCUUGUUGGGUUAUAAAGCUGAAUGGCCAAUGGAUAUUGGCAUUACAAUAGACGCACUAAAAAUAUAUGCUGAAAGUCUGGUUUUCAAUGUUUUUACUGAUUGAAGUAUGGAGAUAUCUAAAUUUUCUUAUCAAGUAUCUACAACAAGCAGUUUGCUUUGCUCUAGCUCUCAUAAUAGAUCUUUAUAAUGUGACAUUUUGCUAUGUAUGUGAACAUAUGACCCUCUUGAUUUGUUGGAUGAUAUCUUGUUUACUUGUAGUAGUGAUCUUGUUUACUCAGGAAGAAGCUGAGGCAGGAGUGCCUGCGGAAGGGGACGGAACUGGCGCAUGGGGUGGCUGACGCCCUCUUCGCUGUAUCACCCACCGAGGACCUCGACGGCCCUAUCGUACACCUCCCACCGCCCGCUGUUCGACUCCCGCGCGAGAAGCAUCUUGGUGCUGGGACCUCACUGCCAGGAUUCCAGGAUUAGUAGCUGCAAAGGUUGGGGCAGAUGUAACACUAACAGACAUGUGCCUAAAAUCUAUCCAAUGACACUGAUGAGCGCUAUGUAUUGUGUACUCAUCAGGUUACAAUUUACAGUUCACCUGCUACUGCUGGUUAUUGAUGAUUCGUGUAUUCGCCUCAUAGGAAUUUUAUUUUUCAAAAGUAGCAUGACUGCAUCAUUGUGAUUUGAUUCUUUCUGCCUAAGACUGACCUUAUGUUACUUGCUUCCGGAGCAUGUAACAUCCUGCUGCCUGUGAAUUUCUUUUUCUGCACAUAAGGAUUUGAACAUCAAGUUUCAGUCGAACCGCAGCAGGUAUUGCCCAUAAUUUGUUUUCAUGGAGUUAUUCAUUAUUAUUUCUGAUGUAAGAUCCAUCAUUU
This is an RNA transcript of Zea mays, 1355 nucleotides long. RefSeq lists it as uncharacterized. NCBI's taxonomy places the organism in Eukaryota, Viridiplantae, Streptophyta, Magnoliopsida, Poales, Poaceae. The record is from RefSeq and is a predicted model, not a curated record. The transcript is spliced from 3 exons.